Molecule: ribosomal RNA, 344 nt
Filed under: uncultured bacterium
Lineage: Bacteria
Description: bacterial SSU rRNA
Rfam family: Bacterial small subunit ribosomal RNA
Source: RNAcentral
AUUGAACGCUGGCGGCGUGCUUAACACAUGCAAGUCGUGCGGUAACAGGCGUAGCAAUACGUGCUGACGAGCGGCGAACGGGUGCGUAAUACAUGGGAAUCUGCCCUUUAGUGGGGAAUAACCCGGCGAAAGCCGGGCUAAUGCCGCAUAAGAUCUUCGGAUGAAAGCGGGGGAUCGUAAGACCUCGCGCUGAUGGAGUGAGCCCAUGUCGGAUUAGCUAGNGGUGAGGUAACGGCUCACCAAGGCGACGAUCCGUAGCUGGUCUGAGAGGACGGCCAGCCACACUGGGACUGAGACACGGCCCAGACUCCUACGGGAGGCAGCAGUGGGGAAUAUUGGACAAU